ACGAACGCUGGCGGCAUGCCUAACACAUGCAAGUCGAACGAGACCUUCGGGUCUAGUGGCGCACGGGUGCGUAACGCGUGGGAACCUGCCCUUAGGUUCGGAAUAACUCCCCGAAAGGGGUGCUAAUACCGGAUAAUGUCUUCGGACCAAAGAUUUAUCGCCUUUGGAUGGGCCCGCGUUGGAUUAGCUAGUUGGUAGGGUAAAAGCCUACCAAGGCGACGAUCCAUAGCUGGUGUGAGAGGAUGAUCAGCCACACUGGGACUGAGACACGGCCCAGACUCCUACGGGAGGCAGCAGUGGGGAAUAUUGGACAAUGGGCGAAAGCCUGAUCCAGCAAUGCCGCGUGAGUGAUGAAGGCCUUAGGGUUGUAAAGCUCUUUUACCCGGGAUGAUAAUGACAGUACCGGGAGAAUAAGCUCCGGCUAACUCCGUG
Molecule: ribosomal RNA, 432 nt
Filed under: uncultured bacterium
Lineage: Bacteria
Description: partial 16S ribosomal RNA
Rfam family: Bacterial small subunit ribosomal RNA
Source: RNAcentral